RNAcentral lists this ribosomal RNA (476 nucleotides) under uncultured bacterium. RNAcentral's name for it is "bacterial SSU rRNA". It matches the Rfam family "Bacterial small subunit ribosomal RNA", at positions 28 to 507 of the family's 1533-position model. The record is from RNAcentral.
GAUGAACGCUGGCGGCGUGCUUAACACAUGCAAGUCGAACGGAGAAAGGGUAGCUUGCUAUCUUUUCUUAGUGGCGGACGGGUGAGUAACGCGUGGGUAACCUGCCCUUUGCAGGGGGAUAACAGUGAGAAAUCGCUGCUAAUACCGCAUACCAACUUCUUUCGCAUGAAGGAAGUUUGAAAGAUUUAUCGGCAAAGGAUGGACCCGCGUUGGAUUAGCUAGUUGGUGAGAUAACAGCCCACCAAGGCAACGAUCCAUAGCCGGCCUGAGAGGGUGAACGGCCACACUGGGACUGAGACACGGCCCAGACUCCUACGGGAGGCAGCAGUGGGGAAUAUUGCACAAUGGGCGAAAGCCUGAUGCAGCGACGCCGCGUGAAGGAUGAAGGUCUUCGGAUUGUAAACUUCUAUCAGCAGGGAAGAAAGGGCUUAUAGCCUAUGACGGUACCUGACUAAGAAGCCCCGGCUAACUACGUG